Molecule: ribosomal RNA, 492 nt
Filed under: uncultured bacterium
Lineage: Bacteria
Description: partial 16S ribosomal RNA
Rfam family: Bacterial small subunit ribosomal RNA
Source: RNAcentral
AGUGAACGCUGGCGGUAGGCCUAACACAUGCAAGUCGAACGGCAGCACAGUAAGAGCUUGCUCUUACGGGUGGCGAGUGGCGGACGGGUGAGGAAUACAUCGGAAUCUACUUUUUCGUGGGGGAUAACGUAGGGAAACUUACGCUAAUACCGCAUACGACCUACGGGUGAAAGCAGGGGAUCUUCGGACCUUGCGCGAUUGAAUGAGCCGAUGUCGGAUUAGCUAGUUGGCGGGGUAAAGGCCCACCAAGGCGACGAUCCGUAGCUGGUCUGAGAGGAUGGUCCGCCACACUGGAACUGGGACACGGUCCCGACUCCUACGGGAGGCAGCAGUGGGGAAUAUUGGACAAUGGGCGCAAGCCUGAUCCAGCCAUACCGCGUGGGUGAAGAAGGCCUUCGGGUUGUAAAGCCCUUUUGUUGGGAAAGAAAAGCAGCAGGUUAAUACCCCGCUGUUCUGACGGUACCCAAAGAAUAAGCACCGGCUAACUUCGUG